Molecule: ribosomal RNA, 2579 nt
Filed under: Escherichia coli
Lineage: Bacteria; Pseudomonadati; Pseudomonadota; Gammaproteobacteria; Enterobacterales; Enterobacteriaceae
Description: partial 23S ribosomal RNA
Rfam family: Bacterial large subunit ribosomal RNA
Source: RNAcentral
GUACACAAAAAUGCACAUAUUGUGAGCUCGAUGAGUAGGGCGGGACACGUGGUAUCCUGUCUGAAUAUGGGGGGACCAUCCUCCAAGGCUAAAUACUCCUGACUGACCGAUAGUGAACCAGUACCGUGAGGGAAAGGCGAAAAGAACCCCGGCGAGGGGAGUGAAAAAGAACCUGAAACCGUGUACGUACAAGCAGUGGGAGCCUCUUAAUGGGGUGACUGCGUACCUUUUGUAUAAUGGGUCAGCGACUUAUAUUCUGUAGCAAGGUUAACCGAAUAGGGGAGCCGAAGGGAAACCGAGUCUUAACUGGGCGUUAAGUUGCAGGGUAUAGACCCGAAACCCGGUGAUCUAGCCAUGGGCAGGUUGAAGGUUGGGUAACACUAACUGGAGGACCGAACCGACUAAUGUUGAAAAAUUAGCGGAUGACUUGUGGCUGGGGGUGAAAGGCCAAUCAAACCGGGAGAUAGCUGGUUCUCCCCGAAAGCUAUUUAGGUAGCGCCUCGUGAAUUCAUCUCCGGGGGUAGAGCACUGUUUCGGCAAGGGGGUCAUCCCGACUUACCAACCCGAUGCAAACUGCGAAUACCGGAGAAUGUUAUCACGGGAGACACACGGCGGGUGCUAACGUCCGUCGUGAAGAGGGAAACAACCCAGACCGCCAGCUAAGGUCCCAAAGUCAUGGUUAAGUGGGAAACGAUGUGGGAAGGCCCAGACAGCCAGGAUGUUGGCUUAGAAGCAGCCAUCAUUUAAAGAAAGCGUAAUAGCUCACUGGUCGAGUCGGCCUGCGCGGAAGAUGUAACGGGGCUAAACCAUGCACCGAAGCUGCGGCAGCGACACUAUGUGUUGUUGGGUAGGGGAGCGUUCUGUAAGCCUGUGAAGGUGUACUGUGAGGUAUGCUGGAGGUAUCAGAAGUGCGAAUGCUGACAUAAGUAACGAUAAAGCGGGUGAAAAGCCCGCUCGCCGGAAGACCAAGGGUUCCUGUCCAACGUUAAUCGGGGCAGGGUGAGUCGACCCCUAAGGCGAGGCCGAAAGGCGUAGUCGAUGGGAAACAGGUUAAUAUUCCUGUACUUGGUGUUACUGCGAAGGGGGGACGGAGAAGGCUAUGUUGGCCGGGCGACGGUUGUCCCGGUUUAAGCGUGUAGGCUGGUUUUCCAGGCAAAUCCGGAAAACCAAGGCUGAGGCGUGAUGACGAGGCACUACGGUGCUGAAGCAACAAAUGCCCUGCUUCCAGGAAAAGCCUCUAAGCAUCAGGUAACAUCAAAUCGUACCCCAAACCGACACAGGUGGUCAGGUAGAGAAUACCAAGGCGCUUGAGAGAACUCGGGUGAAGGAACUAGGCAAAAUGGUGCCGUAACUUCGGGAGAAGGCACGCUGAUAUGUAGGUGAAGCGACUUGCUCGUGGAGCUGAAAUCAGUCGAAGAUACCAGCUGGCUGCAACUGUUUAUUAAAAACACAGCACUGUGCAAACACGAAAGUGGACGUAUACGGUGUGACGCCUGCCCGGUGCCGGAAGGUUAAUUGAUGGGGUUAGCGGUAACGCGAAGCUCUUGAUCGAAGCCCCGGUAAACGGCGGCCGUAACUAUAACGGUCCUAAGGUAGCGAAAUUCCUUGUCGGGUAAGUUCCGACCUGCACGAAUGGCGUAAUGAUGGCCAGGCUGUCUCCACCCGAGACUCAGUGAAAUUGAACUCGCUGUGAAGAUGCAGUGUACCCGCGGCAAGACGGAAAGACCCCGUGAACCUUUACUAUAGCUUGACACUGAACAUUGAGCCUUGAUGUGUAGGAUAGGUGGGAGGCUUUGAAGUGUGGACGCCAGUCUGCAUGGAGCCGACCUUGAAAUACCACCCUUUAAUGUUUGAUGUUCUAACGUGGGCCCCUUACCGGGGUUGCGGACAGUGUCUGGUGGGUAGUUUGACUGGGGCGGUCUCCUCCUAAAGAGUAACGGAGGAGCACGAAGGUUGGCUAAUCCUGGUCGGACAUCAGGAGGUUAGUGCAAUGGCAUAAGCCAGCUUGACUGCGAGCGUGACGGCGCGAGCAGGUGCGAAAGCAGGUCAUAGUGAUCCGGUGGUUCUGAAUGGAAGGGCCAUCGCUCAACGGAUAAAAGGUACUCCGGGGAUAACAGGCUGAUACCGCCCAAGAGUUCAUAUCGACGGCGGUGUUUGGCACCUCGAUGUCGGCUCAUCACAUCCUGGGGCUGAAGUAGGUCCCAAGGGUAUGGCUGUUCGCCAUUUAAAGUGGUACGCGAGCUGGGUUUAGAACGUCGUGAGACAGUUCGGUCCCUAUCUGCCGUGGGCGCUGGAGAACUGAGGGGGGCUGCUCCUAGUACGAGAGGACCGGAGUGGACGCAUCACUGGUGUUCGGGUUGUCAUGCCAAUGGCACUGCCCGGUAGCUAAAUGCGGAAGAGAUAAGUGCUGAAAGCAUCUAAGCACGAAACUUGCCCCGAGAUGAGUUCUCCCUGAGACUUAGAGUCUCCUGAAGGAACGUUGAAGACGACGACGUUGAUAGGCCGGGUGUGUAAGCGCAGCGAUGCGUUGAGCUAACCGGUACUAAUGAACCGUGAGGCUUAACCUUACAACGCCGAAG